RNAcentral lists this ribosomal RNA (435 nucleotides) under uncultured bacterium. Its description in RNAcentral is "partial 16S ribosomal RNA". It matches the Rfam family "Bacterial small subunit ribosomal RNA", at positions 29 to 507 of the family's 1533-position model. The record is from RNAcentral.
AGUGAACGCUGGCGGUAUGCUUAACACAUGCAAGUCGAACGGCCUCUUCGGAGUUAGUGGCGGUCAGGUGAGUAACGCGUGAGAAUCUGGCGUUGGAUUCGGGACUAUCACUGUAAGCGGUGGCUAAUACCGGGUAUCCCGCGCGGUUACAGGGAAAUACCCUGGAGAUGAGCUCGCGUCUGAUUAGCUAGUUGGUGAGGUAAAGGCUCACCAAGGCAGCGAUCAGUAGCUGGUCUGAGAGGAUGACCAGCCACCCCGGGACUGAGACACGGCCCAGACUCAUACGGGAGGCAGCAGGGGGGAAUUAUCCGGAAUGGGCGAAUGCCUGGCGGAGCAAUACCGCGUGAGGGAAGAAGGCUCUUGGGUUGUAAACCUCUUUGCUUAGGGAAGAACAAAAUGACGGUACCUAAGGAAUCAGCAUCGGCUAACUCCGUG